Molecule: long non-coding RNA, 4053 nt
Organism: Oncorhynchus nerka (sockeye salmon)
Lineage: Eukaryota; Metazoa; Chordata; Actinopteri; Salmoniformes; Salmonidae
Exons: 2
Source: RefSeq, a predicted model, not a curated record
CCACUCGGAGCAAAGCUCUCGUAGAAACUUGCGGAUAGGAGGUUCUGAGGACUGGCAGAGAACGUUAGCUCCAGAGGCGGAGGAGGGUGGUGGUUGGAAGAGCACCACGGCAGUUCUUGAUAAAGAAGAACUUCAAGGCUGCGUUUCAAAGUCAACAUACGGUCAAAACACUUAAAAGACACACCCUCGCCCACUUACCCUUAGGGGAAUCCUCGUGGCCAUUUUGGUGGGUGGUCCAAAUCAUUAGCCAAGCAAGGGACGUUUGCAACGUAAGCCCCUCAACCCUCGUUUUUUGUCGGCUUUGCGAGUGUACACUUAUGUUCACUCCGGGGCCUGAAACUCCCCAUAAUUCAAUUCGCGACGAUUGUACAAGUGUCGUUACUACAGCCCCCGGUUCAAAUCCAGGCUGUAUCACAUCCAGCCGUGAUUGGGAGUCCCAUAGGGCGGCGCACAAUUGGCCCAGCGUCGUCUGGGUUUGGCCGGGGUAGGCCGUCAUUGUAAAUAAGAAUUUGUUGUUUACUGACUAGCCUAAUUAGAUCAAGGUUAAAUACAUUUUUUUUAAAUUCCGGGAAAACUUAAAAACAACAUCAAUGGAGAAGUCAACAUACAAGUAUUGGCGGACCGGAAACCCAGUGACAACACUCUGGUCUGCAGCUGACAUUUUCCGUUGAGAAAUAGAAAUGGCCCUGUAUUUGCCAGAAAAUGUUGCUCAUCCAUCAUCGCAGAAGAGGAAGAGUCAUAUACUUCCACAAUGGCAGAAGAGGUAGAUCCAGACACAUUCAACAUGGCAGAUGAAGUUCCAGGCGCCUCGGCCACUGAAGAAUGUAGGAGGCUGCUGUCUACACCGUUGCGGAAUGUUCUCACUGAGGUGCCUCUUAUUAAGGAAACAGCGCUGUUGAAGGUUCUACAGGAGAAUCGGCUGUAUACCUGCAACGGGUAUUCAGCAUCGUGGCUGUCUGAUAAAGUACUGAGGAAAAAAACAGGACUUCCAGACAAAGACAUGUUCAACAUCGUUUUUGAAUACUUGGAAUGUUAAAAGGACUGCGUUGUCUACUUUGCCAAGUGGAGGGUGAAGAUGUUGUCAUUUGAAGAUCAAGUGUUUAUGGCUCUUAUGAAGUUGCAUCACAACUACACCACCUGGCUCAACUAUUCUGUUGUGGUGCAAUCACUGUCCGCAAUGUUACCAUCACUUUCAUUCACAAGCUUUUUUUCAUUAGCAUUAUGAAGACUUCCAAGUUGGGAACCAAACGUGCUUGUGUCUUUUCAUGGAUCCAGCAGAAACUGCAGGAUGGUCAUUGACUGUACUGCCAUGGAAGUAGUGCUUUCAAUGUGAUCUGUAUCGGACAAAGCAAUUGUCCAGGCUCUGUCGCAGCCGGCUGUGACUGGGAGGUCCAUGGGGCGACGCACAAUUGAGAAGAUUUUCAUGUCUUCAUGUCUGGAGACAUGAUUUUUGUCAGACAAGGCUUCUUUUUUUUUAAACCCUUUUUUCUCCCCAGUUACAGUUCGAGAGCCAUAUGUCCUCCUCAACCCAACCCAACCAAGCUGCACUGCUUCUUGACACAACGCACAUCCAACCCAGAAGCCAGCCGCACCAAUGUGUCGGAGGAAACACCGUACACCUGGCGACCUGGUCAGCGUGCACUGAGCCCGUCCCGCCACAGGAGUCACUAGUGCGCAAUGAGACGAAGAGAUCCCUGCCGGCCAAACCCGGACGACGCUUGGCCAACUGUGCGUCGCCCCAUGGACUUCCCGGUCGCGGCCGGCUGCGACAGAGCCUGGGCUCGAACCCAGAAUCUCUGGUGGCACAGCUAGCACUGCGAUGCAAUGCCUUAGACCACUGCGCAACCCAGGAGGCCCAGACAAAGGCUUCUUGAUCCAGAGCUUGACGCAUGCAGGAAUUACUGUGAACAUUCCUUAACCACAAAGGUUCAUAGAGCGUGAGAUGCAUCUCACAAAAGAUAUAGCGAGAAAUGGGAUCCAUGUUGAUAGGGCAAAUGCUUCCUGCCAUCCAGGACCUCUAUACCAGGCGGUGUCAGAGGAAAGCCCUAAAGACUCCAGCCACAGUCUAUAUUUAUAGUCAUUGACUGAUCUCUCUGCUACCUCAUGGCAAGCGGUACCGGAGUGCCAAGUCUAGAUACAAAAUGCUUCUCAACAGCUUCUACCAGCAAGCCAUACGACUCCUGAACUAUUUGCCCCCCCCUUUACGCCUCUGCUAUUCUCUGUUUAUUAUCUAUGCACUCCACUGAACCUGCCCCGGAGAGGGUUCCUUAGACUGAAGAUCCUUCUCUGUGGGCUCUCGGGACAGAGGGUUGUUGUCUUAAGCCAGGUACAGAUCCUCCACUGACUCCAGCUGGUUGGGCACGGCUGGCUCCCUCCACUUGCAUUCCACAUCCUCACAGCCGAUACUGUGAACUGCAAAAAUAGCCAAUGGUGCCGCCUGGCUACACUUAUAAGCUCUAUGGGGACAUUCACAUGUGGUAGAGAGAAUCCCCUGGUCACCUGUAGAGAUCUGCCAAGAGGAAAGAUGUUAAGUGCCAUAUGCCUUUCAAAGCAUGACUUUGAACAGCUUGAAAUGCAUUUGUGCUAUAUAAAUCAAAUUUGAUUUGAUUGAUGACAUUACAGUUGUAGAAUUUUUAAUAAACUGUCAUUUUCAUGAGGACAAGUGCAGUUUUUCCAUUACAUUUUUAUUGAACAUUUGAGAUUUUAUCACUUGAUAUCAAUUUGUAGAUGCAUUGAAAUGUUGACUUUAUGUCCCCCUUUCCCCACAUUUUAGAAAGGUGUGACUUGCAGAACAUCCUGCUCAUCCCAUGAGAAGCAGAGCAUGAUCAAUGCCACUUGCAGCAAGGAGAUCUUCUGGAAUGGAUGUACUCUCUCUCUGGGGGUAAGAUAAUUUAAACAUCACAGAUCUAUAAUCCUACUGUGCCCAUGAUAAAAUACAAUAUGAUUUGUGUUGUACUACUGAAUGAAACUGAAGAGAUGCACUCAGACCAGCCUUUGUGAUUGAACUUACGUUAAUUAUAUUACUUUAGUAGGCUGCUUUGAGCAAAACUUGAAUAUAAUAACCUAUUCUAGGAGCCUAUUAUUUGUUUCCAGACAACACCCUAUCCAACAACUGUGAAUGCCUUGAAAUGCAUAUUUAUUCAUUGUUCACUUGUUUUUCGACAAUGUCAGGUAGAGGCAGGGAUGACUGGGUUCUUCAGCAAGUAAGACACGGGGUAAAAAAUAAUUUAAACAUCACAUAUAUAAAUUCCCAAUGUGCCCAUUAUAAAGUUAACUACAUUACUUUAGUUAGCUGCUUUCAGCAAAAAAUGUAUGUAAUGUAACCUACUCUGGGAGACUAGUGUAUGUAUGUACAAUGUGGAAUAUUUUUGGAACAUUGGCUUCCCUGAAAACGGAGACUGACAGGAGGAUCAAUAGGAGUCUGCCAGAGGUCGUCACGCUGGAUGGUGAUGGAGGUUUUGGUGGUCCACACAAUGAAGAAGCAGGUGUCCCUUCAAGUGAUGUGGAGUUUACCUUGGACCAAGUGCCAGUAAGGAUGGUCUUCACGGAGGCUGUAAGACCCUUUCUUCUGGAUAUAGAAAUCCUUCAACUUCACUGCCUCUUCAAUGGUAAGGUCCCCUCCAUUUGACCUCCACAAAUGCUGUGGUGCCCACCAGACCAUCUGGUGAGGCACCCAGAAUCCCAGACCCCGUGACCCAAGCUUUGACUCCUGCACAUCCAUCCCUGUAGCCAUUUUGAAUGCCUUGAUGCCCUCCUUUUUAUCUGUGCCCCACUUUACACACAACACCCCUUCCAACGACUGUGAACACCUUGAAAUGUAAGCAUUUUAAGAAAUGUGAUACAAAAAUAGUUUGAUUUGAUUGACGACUACAGCUGUAGAAUAUUUAAUAAACUGUAAAGUGCAGUUUUUCCAUAAACUUUUAAUUGAUAACUUGGGAUUUUGUCACUUGACAUAUCAAUCAUACAGUGGGAAGGAUCCUAUAAAUCAAGACUGUGUGGAUGCAUGUACCUCUCCGAAAAAAUAAAUACAAUAAAGUCUGAUGUCUAAACAAA